UUGUCGCCAUAAGUGACCUUGAGGAAC
RNAcentral lists this non-coding RNA (27 nucleotides) under Homo sapiens (human). Lineage: Eukaryota; Metazoa; Chordata; Mammalia; Primates; Hominidae. The record is from RNAcentral.